GAUGAACGCUAGCGGCAGGCUUAAUACAUGCAAGUCGAGGGACAGCACAGGUAGCAAUACUGGGUGGUAACCGGCAAACGGGUGCGGAACACGUACACAACCUUCCUUUAAGUGGGGGACAGCCCAGAGAAAUUUGGAUUAAUACCCCGUAAUAUAGUUGAAUGGCAUCAUUUGAUUAUUAUAGCUACGGCGCUUAAUGAUGGGUGUGCGGCUGAUUAGAUAGUUGGCGGGGUAACGGCCCACCAAGUCUACGAUCAGUAGCUGAUGUGAGCGCAUGAUCAGCCACACGGGCACUGAGACACGGGCCCGACUCCUACGGGAGGCAGCAGUAAGGAAUAUUGGUCGAUGGACGCAAGUCUGAACCAGCCAUGCCGCGUGAAGGAUUAAGGUCCUCUGGAUUGUAAACUUCUUUUAUUUGGGACGAAAAAGGGCCUUUCUAGGUCAACUGACGGUACCAGAUGAAUAAGCACCGGCUAACUCCGUGCCAGCCGCCGCCGUAA
Molecule: ribosomal RNA, 500 nt
Filed under: uncultured bacterium
Lineage: Bacteria
Description: partial 16S ribosomal RNA
Rfam family: Bacterial small subunit ribosomal RNA
Source: RNAcentral